Bubalus bubalis (water buffalo) is the source of this 938-nucleotide long non-coding RNA. RefSeq lists it as uncharacterized. NCBI's taxonomy places the organism in Eukaryota, Metazoa, Chordata, Mammalia, Artiodactyla, Bovidae. The transcript is spliced from 2 exons. The record is from RefSeq and is a predicted model, not a curated record.
UCUGUUGUGUCUGAACACCAUCUACCUGAGGCAGGGGUCCAAGUGUCCCUUCAUCGUCAAAGGCCAAAAUUGGAUUCAAAGGAAUAUCUGGAUUCUCACUGUUGGUGACAUCUAGUCUGGAUGGUUUAGAUCCAAUGGGAGAAAAAUACAGAUGCCUGACCUAACUGUAUCACAAGGCACUGCAGGGUACAGGGAAAAUAUUACUUGUAAGAGUGCUGUGGAAAAGAACGUAAAAUUAUUAUACAGAUUGCAGCUAUGAUGGUGUGGUGCUUUCCCACUGCUGUGCCGUGGAACUGAGACGAAGCUUGGCAUCACAGUCUACGUGAGUGUGCCUGCAUGCACACACACGGAAUGCCUGCCAUCCUGUUCUUUCCCAAUACGAGUGGGCUUUCUGUAACCAGGGAGAGUUUCGGUUCUCAUCCCACAGAGAUUUUUUAAGUACAAGUUUUGGCAAAAGAAGAAUAUAUCUUCAAAACUCUUGUUCCUUGACGGAUGUCAACUCCGUUCACCUUCCAGGCCUGCGUGUGCUGACAAGCUAUAAUGGCACACCAACCCCAGGUUUGACUCAACGCUGACUUCAUUUUCCUCUUCCACUACUACCCAACCCCUCCACCCAGUCUUUGUUAACAAUUAGAGGAAUAAUCAUACCAUAUGCUUUGGAUGAACAAUUAUUAAAUGUUCAGAGGACGCAGUGAUAUGCAAAACUAUAAAACUGAAGUUCAAGUUUCUGAAGAUAUGUUUUGGGUUUUUAUACAAUGAUUGGUCACUUGGUGAUUUUACCACUGAAGAGAAUCAGCUAAUUUUAUUCCCUGGAGAGAAUUAUCAGUGGCUUAAAAAACUUAUUCCCUGUUAUAAUAAUGGGGCACUCUCUGCAGUACUUUUUAUAGGAGUUGGAAAUGAAUAUUUUAUUUGAAAAUUAAACUAAUUUAAAAAUGAAA